Molecule: ribosomal RNA, 886 nt
Filed under: Hypocreales sp. LM364
Lineage: Eukaryota; Fungi; Ascomycota; Sordariomycetes; Hypocreales
Description: bacterial SSU rRNA
Rfam family: Eukaryotic small subunit ribosomal RNA (bases 1-360)
Source: RNAcentral
CCUUAGAGUUCUGGGCCGCACGCGCGCUACACUGACGGAGCCAGCGAGUACCUCCUUGGCCGGAAGGCCCGGGUAAUCUUGUUAAACUCCGUCGUGCUGGGGAUAGAGCAUUGCAAUUAUUGCUCUUCAACGAGGAAUCCCUAGUAAGCGCAAGUCAUCAGCUUGCGUUGAUUACGUCCCUGCCCUUUGUACACACCGCCCGUCGCUACUACCGAUUGAAUGGCUCAGUGAGGCGUCCGGACUGGCCCAGAGAGGUGGGCAACUACCACUCAGGGCCGGAAAGCUCUCCAAACUCGGUCAUUUAGAGGAAGUAAAAGUCGUAACAAGGUCUCCGUUGGUGAACCAGCGGAGGGAUCAUUACCGAGUUUACAACUCCCAAACCCCUGUGAACAUACCUACAACGUUGCCUCGGCGGCUCCCCGCUUCCCCGUAAAACGGGAGCGGCCCGCCAGAGGACCCAACAAACUCUGUUAUUUUCAGUAUCUUCUGAGUAAAAACACAAUCAAUUAAAACUUUCAACAACGGAUCUCUUGGUUCUGGCAUCGAUGAAGAACGCAGCGAAAUGCGAUAAGUAAUGUGAAUUGCAGAAUUCAGUGAAUCAUCGAAUCUUUGAACGCACAUUGCGCCCGCCAGUACUCUGGCGGGCAUGCCUGUUCGAGCGUCAUUACAUCCCUCAAGCCCCAGCGGCUUGGUGUUGGGCUUCGGCCGUCCUCACGGCGGCGUGCCCCAAAUAACAGUGGGGGUCUCGCCCCCCGGCUCCUCUGCGUAGUAGUAACAUCUCCCCACUGGGACGGAACCGAAGGCCACCCCCUUAAAAAAAACCCAACUUUUCUGAAAGGUUUGACCCCCGAAUCAGGGGAGGGAAUACCCGCUUGAACUUUAAGCC